GGGGUUGUGGCUCAGUAGUAGAGCACUCAUCUAGCAUGUGUGAGGCCCUGGGUUCAAUCCUUAGCACCA
This is a non-coding RNA of Ictidomys tridecemlineatus (thirteen-lined ground squirrel), 69 nucleotides long. The record is from Rfam. Lineage: Eukaryota; Metazoa; Chordata; Mammalia; Rodentia; Sciuridae.